This 897-nucleotide ribosomal RNA is filed under the name Ceriosporopsis halima. Its description in RNAcentral is "eukaryotic LSU rRNA". It matches the Rfam family "Eukaryotic large subunit ribosomal RNA", at positions 218 to 1147 of the family's 3401-position model. Lineage: Eukaryota; Fungi; Ascomycota; Sordariomycetes; Microascales; Halosphaeriaceae. The record is from RNAcentral.
ACCCCGUACGGUCGGACUCCGAGCCUCUGUAAAGUUCCUUCGACGAGUCGAGUAGUUUGGGAAUGCUGCUCUAAAUGGGAGGUAAACCCCUUCUAAAGCUAAAUACUGGCCAGAGACCGAUAGCGCACAAGUAGAGUGAUCGAAAGAUGAAAAGCACUUUGAAAAGAGAGUUAAACAGCACGUGAAAUUGUUAAAAGGGAAGCGCUUGUGACCAGACUUGUGCCCGGCGGUUCAGCCGUCCUUCUGGGCGGUGCAUUCCGUCGGCUCAGGCCAGCAUCAGUUCGCGGCGGGGGAGAAAAUCAGCGGGAACGUGGCUCUUCGGAGUGUUAUAGCCCGCUGUAAUACCCUGCUACGGACUGAGGUUCGCGCAUCUGCAUGGAUGCUGGCGUAAUGGUUAUCAGCGACCCGUCUUGAAACACGGACCAAGGAGUCGUCCUAGUAUGCGAGUGUUAGGGUGUAAAACCCCUACGCGAAAUAAAAGUGAACGGAGGUGAGAGCUUCGGCGCAUCAUCGACCGAUCCUGAUGUCUUCGGAUGGAUUUGAGUAUGAGCAUAUUGGGCCGGACCCGAAAGAAGGUGAACUAUGCUUGUAUAGGGUGAAGUCAGAGGAAACUCUGAUGGAGGCUCGCAGCGGUUCUGACGUGCAAAUCGAUCGUCAAAUAUGAGCAUGGGGGCGAAAGACUAAUCGAACCUUCUAGUAGCUGGUUUCCGUCGAAGUUUCCCUCAGGAUAGCAGUGUUGAUCUUCAGUUUUAUGAGGUAAAGCGAAUGAUUAGGGAAUCGGGGGCGGUAUUUAGCCUUCAUCCAUUCUCAAACUUUAAAUAUGUAAGAAGCCCUCGUUUCUUCAGUGAACGUGGGCAUUCGAAUGUGCAACAUUAGGGGGCCAGCCUUGGUAAGCAG